AUAGGUUUUGACAUCAACGUGCUUCUCAAAGAAGCAAGGAGCAGGUGGUUAAAGCCUUCUGAAGUUUACUAUAUCUUGUUGAAUCAUGAGCAGCUUCAUAUCACCCAUGAGCCACCAAAUAAGCCACCCAGUAAGUACAUCUCCUUAAUUUUGAGAAAUUUGCUUUUACUUCUAUCUUUAUUUGUGUACAAUAACAAUAUCAUUUGUUCUCUAGGUGGCUCACUAUUCCUUUAUAAUCGCCGUGUGAAUCGGUUUUUCCGGAAAGAUGGUUAUGCAUGGCGAAGGAAGAAAGAUGGAAGAACUGUCGGGGAGGCUCACGAGCGAUUAAAGGUUUGCUUCAGAAAGCUCAGUAUAGUGUCACUGUAUUCCAAUUAUUUUCGUCUUGUCAAUACAGUCUUGCCAACAAGAGAGGGUGCCGCCUGUCAGGACAUCUCGGACUGGGUGUGCAUGUCCCUUCUAUUAAUGCAUCAUCUUUGCAAGAAGUAG
RNAcentral lists this ribosomal RNA (486 nucleotides) under Triticum aestivum (bread wheat). RNAcentral's name for it is "partial small subunit ribosomal RNA". The record is from RNAcentral. Lineage: Eukaryota; Viridiplantae; Streptophyta; Magnoliopsida; Poales; Poaceae.